RNAcentral lists this ribosomal RNA (295 nucleotides) under Streptomyces sp. SID10244. RNAcentral describes it as "partial 23S ribosomal RNA". It matches the Rfam family "Bacterial large subunit ribosomal RNA", at positions 2030 to 2325 of the family's 2925-position model. The record is from RNAcentral. Lineage: Bacteria; Bacillati; Actinomycetota; Actinomycetes; Kitasatosporales; Streptomycetaceae.
GACUCGGCGAAAUUGCAGUACGAGUAAAGAUGCUCGUUACGCGCGGCAGGACGAAAAGACCCCGGGACCUUCACUAUAGCUUGGUAUUGGUGUUCGGUUCGGUUUGUGUAGGAUAGGUGGGAGACUGUGAAGUGGGCACGCCAGUGUUCAUGGAGUCGUUGUUGAAAUACCACUCUGAUCGUAUUGGACUUCUAACCUCGGACCCUGAUCGGGUUCAGGGACAGUGCCUGGUGGGUAGUUUAACUGGGGCGGUUGCCUCCCAAAAUGUAACGGAGGCGCCCAAAGGUUCCCUCAG